RNAcentral lists this ribosomal RNA (253 nucleotides) under uncultured bacterium. Its description in RNAcentral is "partial 16S ribosomal RNA". It matches the Rfam family "Bacterial small subunit ribosomal RNA", at positions 524 to 776 of the family's 1533-position model. The record is from RNAcentral.
UACGGAGGGAGCUAGCGUUGUUCGGAAUUACUGGGCGUAAAGCGCACGUAGGCGGAUAUUUAAGUCAGGGGUGAAAUCCCAGAGCUCAACUCUGGAACUGCCUUUGAUACUGGGUAUCUUGAGUAUGGAAGAGGUGAGUGGAAUUCCGAGUGUAGAGGUGAAAUUCGUAGAUAUUCGGAGGAACACCAGUGGCGAAGGCGGCUCACUGGUCCAUUACUGACGCUGAGGUGCGAAAGCGUGGGGAGCAAACAGG